CCUACGGGUGGCAGCAGUGGGGGAUAUUGCACAAUGGGGGAAACCCUGAUGCAGCGACGCCGCGUGGGUGAAGAAGCGCCUCGGCGCGUAAAGCCCUGUCAGCAGGGAAGAAAAUGACGGUACCUGAAGAAGAAGCCCCGGCUAACUACGUGCCAGCAGCCGCGGUAAUACGUAGGGGGCAAGCGUUAUCCGCAUUUACGGGGUGUAAAGGGGGCGCAGUCGGCGAUGCAAGCCAGGAGUGAAAGCCCGGGGCCCAACCCCGGGACUGCUCUUGGAACUGCGUGGCGAGAGUGCAGGAGGGGCAGGCGGAAGUCCUGGGGUAGCGGUGAAAUGCGUAGAUAUCAGGAGGAACACCGGUGGCGAAGGCGGCCUGCUGGACUGCAACUGACGUUGAGGCCCGAAAGCGUGGGGAGCAAACAGGAUUAGAUACCCUGGUAGUC
RNAcentral lists this ribosomal RNA (440 nucleotides) under uncultured bacterium. RNAcentral describes it as "partial 16S ribosomal RNA". It matches the Rfam family "Bacterial small subunit ribosomal RNA", at positions 338 to 795 of the family's 1533-position model. The record is from RNAcentral.